Long non-coding RNA from Nematostella vectensis (starlet sea anemone), 1886 nucleotides. RefSeq lists it as uncharacterized. The record is from RefSeq and is a predicted model, not a curated record. NCBI's taxonomy places the organism in Eukaryota, Metazoa, Cnidaria, Anthozoa, Actiniaria, Edwardsiidae. The transcript has 2 exons.
UCGCUGGCCACUAAAUAGAGAGACGUUCGAGGCUCUGGAACCAGGGUACUGGAUAACUCCCGUCGUAUUCAAACCGUUUAUUGACAGAAGAAAAGGCUUUCUGAUUUGAUUUUGCAAUGAAUGUGAUGGGGCAGUGGUGGUUCCAAAUCUAGAAAUAAGUAUAGUGUCAGUAUCUAAAUACGGAAAAGAAAUCUGUUUUCACAAAUAAUAAUCUUACCAUGAGUCACUCCAAUGAUAUUAUUUUAAAAGUGACGUUAAUUAUAGACAUUUGAAUGCAUAGAAAUGAUGCAAUGCGGAAAUUCCCGUCACUUUUAGGGAUAUAAAAUAUCCCCUUUUAUGUAACAUAACCAUGACGCACUGGCGCGGGAUACAGGGUAAUCUGUAUUAGCAAGCGUAAAAUCCCCUUCACUUGUGAAAACAAGUUCAAGAUUGCGGAAUUCUCCUUGCGUUUUUACGUAUGCAAAGUCUGCUGGGUCUCCGUCGUGGGAAAAGACGUGACGUUUGAUGUUAUAAUUAAAAAAAUGAGAACCUUAGCAAAAAUGGGGUGAGAUCUUACCAUCUCGAUAAAUUAUGCCGAGGAUAGAAGUAAUGUCGCGAUAUUUGCGUGAAUGGUACACAAAAGAAAAGGUAAUUGAGUUGAUGCGCCCUGGAUAAAAUUUCCCCGACCUACCGCUGCGAGUAUCCGCAUGACCCUUGCCGCGUGCUGGUGACGUGAUCGUAAUAGGAUACCUUACAGACCACAGUGUUUACAGAACCAAAUUCAAAUGUAACCGUUAAAAAGGCAUCAGUUUGUAGAGAGGUCCGGAGAUACCGAAGACAAGAGAAGUUGUUAUAACCGAGGCCGACCAUGAGCGUAAAUCACGUGUUGCUCCUGACUAUUUUGCUUAUCGUCGCCACGACAACCAGCCGAGGGAACCCAUUCAAGAUCGCCUACGCGAACCAGCAAUGCAAGCUCAGCGGCUAUACCAUGGAAGUGACCGUUCACUCGUGCCAGCCCCGUAAAAUCUCCGUGAACACGUGUGUAGGGACAUGUGUGUCGUCAGCUCUCCCUGCCGCUGGUCUCAGGAUCGAGCCCGCAUGCACCUGUUGCCAGGAAAUUGAAAGUCACGAAGUCGAGGUCGGACUGUGGUGCCAAGCCUCCCCUAAUUCUGCUUGGACACAGGAAUACCACGUGAUAAAGACAGCCACUAAAUGCGCGUGCAGGCCUUGCUGAAAUGUCAUGGAUCAAUGCGAACAAAAACAACAAAGUACGGAUAAAGAAACCUGCAGACUUAACUGAUUGCGUUGGCAUUGACAGAAAGGAUGAACUGGCUUUCACUUGUCUCACAGAAGAGAUAGGCUAACUAGUGCAGUUACGUAAAAUCAACACUUGUAUAAACAUGAGGACUACGGAGUUAAAAAGUUUUUGGAGAGAGUAAGGCCAAAUAUCACAAAAGUGUAUAACACGUGUAUUGCUGCACAAAGUGCCGCGCUAACAAGUGCGUGACAAGGCCGAUAGGCUGUGCGGGCGCUCGUAUGGAUAUUAGAACAGGUCUAGCAUUAGGCAAUUUGGCGACCUAGAUGGAAGGGAAGGGGAGGGGAGGGGUGGGAUGCGCCAAACCCCCCGUCGCGCCAUAUGAGCACGGCCGUUUCCUAAUCGUUUCUUUGUUUGCUGAGGUUUACGGUGGGCAGGUUGAUGCUUUUCAAGGGUAAGGAUUAACCCAUGCUUCACUUACAAUGAUGAUUUGAGUGGCACAAUGGUCGAAAGUAUAUUACCAAGACAACGUUGAAAUACCAUGGUUACACACGGAUAGUUUUAUUAAAUAUAUACGACUUAUAUGCUGUAUUCUUAGUUGAUAUAUACGAAAGAAAUAUCUUCAAAUAAACAAAAUUAAAUUCCUUUUCAA